Molecule: long non-coding RNA, 296 nt
Filed under: Manihot esculenta (cassava)
Lineage: Eukaryota; Viridiplantae; Streptophyta; Magnoliopsida; Malpighiales; Euphorbiaceae
Description: long non-coding RNA (MESC_LNC002342)
Source: RNAcentral
GGCAGAGUGUCCCUAUGUUCAGACCUGGUCAUGAAAGAAAAAUAAACAAACAAGUAAAAUCAAUUCCCCGGCAACGGCGCCAAUUUUUGACAGGAGCGGUUGUCGAAGCCGGUCAAAAAUAACCUUCUUGGUUACCUACAAAUACAACUGUAGACAGUGGUGAAGGAUCGUAUCCACAGAGAAUUGAUUACCUAUUUAUUUAUCUUAAUCAAGACCAAUCAAACCAAUGGAAAGCACAAGUGAAGGCAGUAAUUGCAAAUAGAACAAAAGUAAAGUGCAAGGAAAGUAAAAAGGGG